Pelobates cultripes (western spadefoot toad) is the source of this 202-nucleotide non-coding RNA. The record is from the annotation of a GenBank genome assembly. NCBI's taxonomy places the organism in Eukaryota, Metazoa, Chordata, Amphibia, Anura, Pelobatidae.
CCACCCCGCUUGCCAACAUCCUAGUAGCCGCACAUAGAUCACUGUAUAGUCCACUGGCGAGGGGGUGAUCUCCUCUAUGGGCUUAGCACAACUCGGUAGUCAAAAUAGGCCUCUGAUGCAUAGUUGUGCCCACCAGAGGAAAACUAGUUGGUAAAUGUGUCUAGAUUACCUAUGUACUCUUUUCUCUUUAAAAAAACAAAAA